GCCAGUGUGGCGUAGCGGUUUGAGUGUUGGACUAUGAUUCUGGAGACCAAGGUUCAAUUCCCUGCUUGAUCU
Phrynosoma platyrhinos (Desert horned lizard) is the source of this 72-nucleotide non-coding RNA. The record is from the annotation of a GenBank genome assembly. NCBI's taxonomy places the organism in Eukaryota, Metazoa, Chordata, Lepidosauria, Squamata, Phrynosomatidae.